RNAcentral lists this ribosomal RNA (465 nucleotides) under uncultured bacterium. RNAcentral's name for it is "partial 16S ribosomal RNA". It matches the Rfam family "Bacterial small subunit ribosomal RNA", at positions 338 to 795 of the family's 1533-position model. The record is from RNAcentral.
CCUACGGGUGGCAGCAGUGGGGAAUAUUGCGCAAUGGGCGAAAGCCUGUCGCAGCGACGCCGCGUGAGGGAUGAAGGUCUUCGGAUCGUAAACCUCUGUCAGCAGGGAAGAACGGUCACUGUGCUAAUCAGCAGUGAAUUGACGGUACCUGCAAAGGAAGCACCGGCUAACUCCGUGCCAGCAGCCGCGGUAAUACGGAGGGUGCGAGCGUUAAUCGGAAUUACUGGGCGUAAAGCGCUCGUAGGCGGUAUGUCAAGUCAAGGGUGAAAUCCCCGCGCUCAACGUGGGAACUGCCUUUGAAACUGGCAAACUGGAGUGUGGGAGAGGAUAGUGGAAUUCCAGGUGUAGGAGUGAAAUGCGUAGAUAUCUGGAGGAACAUCAGUGGCGAAGGCGACUAUCUGGCACAUAACUGACGCUGAGGAGCGAAAGCGUGGGUAGCAAACAGGAUUAGAUACCCGAGUAGUC